RNAcentral lists this unclassified non-coding RNA (272 nucleotides) under Hevea brasiliensis (rubber tree). The record is from RNAcentral. Lineage: Eukaryota; Viridiplantae; Streptophyta; Magnoliopsida; Malpighiales; Euphorbiaceae.
GCUGAAAUAAUCAACCUCUUCUUCUUUGUUGUUAUCGUCCUUUUUUCUUUCUCUCUCUAGGGUUUUGCGUAUUGCUGAAACCAAUUCAAAUAUCAAAUCCGAAAAAUCCCCAAAUUUUCACUGAAACCAGUUGUUGUUCUUCUUUCAUGUCAAUUUAAGCUAAUCCAAACCCAUAAUAUGACACUACGAAAGGGUUCUAAUGUAUGGGUCGAAGACAAAAGUUCCGCUUGGGUUGCUGCUCAAGUGACUGAUUUUAUUGGUAAACAAGUCCA